UCCAAUCACGGUGGGCAAAACUGACUCGGAGAGAAAAGCGAGAAGCCAACUCAUUAGCUGUUGGUCGUGCUUCAUCCAAGGGAUGUACACCGGGUUGGGCUAUGCAAGUCCAUCCUCGACGGUGGAAGUGUCUCUGCUAGGCGAACUUCACUGCCAUCCACGAAAUCGAGAAGAUCAUUGCUGUGCAGAAGAGGCAUGAUCUGGGUCUUCCAUAGGAUGUACUUUUCCCUUGUUAGCUGGAUGGGAAUAAACUGUAGAGCAUUGGUGAGGGAGAUAUUGAAAGAGG
This 286-nucleotide long non-coding RNA is filed under the name Elaeis guineensis (African oil palm). RNAcentral's name for it is "long non-coding RNA (EGUI_LNC002434)". Lineage: Eukaryota; Viridiplantae; Streptophyta; Magnoliopsida; Arecales; Arecaceae. The record is from RNAcentral.